AUGGGGAACAAGGCAGGGAGGGGAGAGAGGCCCGGGCGGUGUGUAUGCGCCUUUGUUUAAUUACACUGUUUAACACACUGAGAAUAAUUUAGCCAUCCAAGUGGAGAAAAUAAGGGACUUAACCGUUCCCUGGUGGCAACGCUCCACGGCUCACCGUCGGCUGUUUCUGCCUCCUCGGAGUCUCUCACGCACCUUCGGGAUUUCUCUCUGACCGCGGGGAAGGAAGUGUUUGCGGGAGGAACGUUGAGUUUGGACACUCACCCACCUCGAGUUCAAGGGACAGAGAGGCUGCUCCGUGAGAGAUGGAGUCUCUGGUGCGCGACUGAGGAAUGGACCGUCUUCCGGAGACCCAAGGGAGAAGCCGACGUCGGAUCGGCCUCAAGUGACUGGCGGAAGCCAAUGGUAGGAGAUGCGGUGCCAUGUUGGGUCAUAGUUCAACUCCUUCUACUAAGGAUUGAUAGAAUGCCCAGAUGCAUUAUUAAUCCAAUCAAGCACCUUUUGUGCAAAACACAUCCUCACUUGUGGCCCUUCCAACCCUGUCACCUGUUCUCCCAGCCCUCAGCACCCCCAUAAUUUAUUGUCUCCUCCUUGGCUUCUACAUUCUUUUUCUCCUCUCAUAACCUGCUCUCCAACCCUCUUUCUGCCCUCAACUACUCAACCGAAGGUGUGUAUUUCAAGAUGUCACUUUUUUUUUAGUUGGACUGCAUACACACCCUCACCUGAGAUCUGCAGGAUACUCCUUCCACUGUUUUGAUAAAACAAUGUAAAAAUAUCUCUCCAGCAUAUUUGCUUUAUAUCUUUUCCCUCUCCCAGCUUUCGAAGACUAAACCCAGUGUUGACAAAGGGAAUUAGCUUAGCCUUUCCCUAUAACAAUUGAGACAAUAGGCUCUUGUAUUAGGGGAAACAUGAAUAUGGAAGAUAUUUGCAAUGUAAUUAAAUUGCCCAUCCAAUAAACCACAAGUAUAUGGUCAUAUUCCUUCAGUUGGGAUACUUGAGUC
RNAcentral lists this long non-coding RNA (998 nucleotides) under Ornithorhynchus anatinus (platypus). RNAcentral describes it as "lncRNA (ENSOANG00000035632.2)". The record is from RNAcentral. Lineage: Eukaryota; Metazoa; Chordata; Mammalia; Monotremata; Ornithorhynchidae.